Molecule: transfer RNA, 134 nt
Filed under: Klebsiella aerogenes
Lineage: Bacteria; Pseudomonadati; Pseudomonadota; Gammaproteobacteria; Enterobacterales; Enterobacteriaceae
Description: tRNA-OTHER
Rfam family: tRNA
About the family: Transfer RNA (tRNA) molecules are approximately 80 nucleotides in length. Their secondary structure includes four short double-helical elements and three loops (D, anti-codon, and T loops).
Source: RNAcentral
GAUUGAAUGUAGCUCAGUUGGAAAGAGCGGGCUAUGGAGUGCUGGCCAGCAGUUCAGCGUGAUGGAUUGCAAGUCUGAUCGCUGGACUUCCUCAAAGUGCGGUCGCUGGUUCGAAUCCAGCCAUCCAAUCACCA